Symphalangus syndactylus (siamang) is the source of this 396-nucleotide long non-coding RNA. RefSeq lists it as uncharacterized. NCBI's taxonomy places the organism in Eukaryota, Metazoa, Chordata, Mammalia, Primates, Hylobatidae. The record is from RefSeq and is a predicted model, not a curated record.
AGGAAAAGAGGCCACCAUAGUCCUGGAGGAGUUACUUCCAGAAGGUGUUGAUCCUGAGAGUGCUUUGUUAAAAAACAUUCUCCAUGCUGACCUCCAUUUUUGAGCCCGCUUCCUGGGGAAACCUGAAACAGGACUCGAUGCUAGCAGCUGCCCAGAAGAACCAGAUGGGCCACUGUCCUUGCCAGAAGAUCUGAUCUCCUGUAUAUGGCCACCACCUAACACUGCUCACUUCUACAUCUAAACCUCAGUUUCCUCUACUACCCAUUCAAUGUUUACUAUGCCUUCAUUCAACACCCCAGCUGGCCUAAGUUCUUUUCCUGGUGAAACAAUCAUCAUUUUUGUGCCUGAGAGGUCUGAACUCUUGGCGACCCUACUAGUAUGAGGUUUCUAUGGUUU